GACGAACGCUGGCGGCGUGCUUAACACAUGCAAGUCGAACGGAAAGGCCCUGCUUUUGUGGGGUGCUCGAGUGGCGAACGGGUGAGUAACACGUGACUAACCUGCCCUUUACUUUUGGAUAACUUCAGGAAACUGGGGCUAAUACCGGAUAGGAUCGCCUUCUGCAUGGUGGGGUUAGGCAAGUUUCGGCGGUUGGGGAUGGACUCGCGGCUUAUCAGCUUGUUGGUGGGGGAGUGGCUUACCAAGGCUUUGACGGGUAGCCGGCCUGAGAGGGUGACCGGCCACAUUGGGACCGAGAUACGGCCCAGACUCCUACGGGAGGCAGCAGUGGGGAAUAUUGCACAAUGGGCGGAAGCCUGAUGCAGCAACGCCGCGUGCGGGAUGACGGCCUUCGGGUUGUAAACCGCUUUCGCCUGUGACGAAGCGUGAGUGGCGGUAAUGGGUAAAGAAGCACCGGCUAACUACGUG
This 468-nucleotide ribosomal RNA is filed under the name uncultured bacterium. Its description in RNAcentral is "partial 16S ribosomal RNA". It matches the Rfam family "Bacterial small subunit ribosomal RNA", at positions 28 to 507 of the family's 1533-position model. The record is from RNAcentral.